RNAcentral lists this non-coding RNA (30 nucleotides) under Rattus norvegicus (Norway rat). The record is from RNAcentral. Lineage: Eukaryota; Metazoa; Chordata; Mammalia; Rodentia; Muridae.
UUUCAGUUCGAUUGGGCCAGCUGAAGGUGG